Myotis brandtii (Brandt's bat) is the source of this 168-nucleotide non-coding RNA. The record is from Rfam. NCBI's taxonomy places the organism in Eukaryota, Metazoa, Chordata, Mammalia, Chiroptera, Vespertilionidae.
GAAGGCAGCUGUCAGCCCAGCAGGAAGAAGACCAUUGAGAGGCGUCCCGCUGUCCCUGUGGCUGGAGCCUGCCCGCUGAGCCCUGAGGGCGCUGGGCCGGCGACCUCAGCGCCUGGAUGGAGGGAUGGAGAAAGCAGCGGGAGGGCUGGGCAGUGAGGACCCCUAAGG